RNAcentral lists this long non-coding RNA (749 nucleotides) under Lathyrus oleraceus (garden pea). RNAcentral's name for it is "Pisum sativum (pea) long non-coding RNA (PSAT_LNC011109)". Lineage: Eukaryota; Viridiplantae; Streptophyta; Magnoliopsida; Fabales; Fabaceae. The record is from RNAcentral.
UUCUUUCGUCACUCGUCCUCUUCCUCUGCAACCUAACAAAACCCCCCAAAUUCAUUCUCCCCAACACCAUCUCCAAACCCUAAUCCGAUCACCUCAAAACAAAAUCCACCGAUGUGGGCUGCUUCGUGCUUGGCGUCAUGCUGCGCCGCCUGCGCAUGCGACGCUUGCAGGACCGUCGUUUCAGGCAUCAGCCGUCGUUCAGCCAGGAUCGCUUACUGCGGCCUCUUCGCUCUUUCCCUCUUCGUUGCUUGGAUCCUCCGUGAAGUCGCUGCUCCUCUCAUGGAAUCAAUUCCCUGUAACUAUUCCCUCCUUCAAACCCUAAUUCUUUUUUUUUAUCCUUUCUAAUUUCGAAUUAUGAAAUAAAAUUCUUUAUUCUUCAAUUGGAGGAUUGUAUGUAAAACACCUCUUUAAAAUUAUUAAGCUAUCUGUUUAAUCUGGAAUGUUUAACUUUUUAAUUUUUAAUUUUUACCUUUUUUUUAUUAUGAAAAUUGUGUUGUUGUAAAAUUACCAUGUUUCAUACGGAUAAUACACGUACAGUUUUUACAAGUUAAUUUAGUGAAUUUAGAUGAGGAUAUAAUUGGGUUAUUAUGGACUUGAGGAUGAAGCUAAUGUAUUUGAAAAAUGGUGCAGGGAUUAAUCACUUUAAACAAACUCCGAGCCGUGAGUGGUUUGAGACAGAUGCAGUUCUACGUGUUAGCUUUGGAAACUUUCUGUUUUUCACUAUUCUGGCUACUAUGAUGGUUGGUGUU